This 347-nucleotide long non-coding RNA is filed under the name Homo sapiens (human). RNAcentral describes it as "HSALNT0187151". The record is from RNAcentral. Lineage: Eukaryota; Metazoa; Chordata; Mammalia; Primates; Hominidae.
AGUCUCUUGAGAAAAAAAAUGCAUGGGAGGCCUUGUAACCUGAACUCCUUCGUCUCAUUUCCAAAGGCUGCCUCUUCUCCUGAGUGGCUUCACUUGGGAUUUAAAACCUGCAUGAAGUCAAGGCUCAGACCUGGCUUCCUUGGCUCCCACUCAGAUCAUAUGGCCAAGUGGGAGUGAUCAAGACUGUGGGCUCCUCACCUGAGGCCUGUUUCUGUUGCAUCCCAGCCAUCUCCUUGUUGCAGCUGCCCAUUACCCAAUACCAAGAAGAGAGGACUUCUCCCAGUGACACUCACCCAGUGUCACCUUUGUCCACAAAUAUCUAGUCUUGUGGAACAUGUGGAUUAAAA